RNAcentral lists this small RNA (127 nucleotides) under Marmota monax (woodchuck). Lineage: Eukaryota; Metazoa; Chordata; Mammalia; Rodentia; Sciuridae. The record is from RNAcentral.
GCUGGGCACAGUGGCACAUACCUGUAAUCCCAGCAACUUGGGAGGCUGAGGCAGGAGGAUCGCAAGUUCAAAGCCAGCCUCAGCAAUUUAGCAAGGCCCUAAGCAAUUUAGAGAGUUCCUGUCUCAA